RNAcentral lists this ribosomal RNA (510 nucleotides) under uncultured bacterium. RNAcentral describes it as "bacterial SSU rRNA". It matches the Rfam family "Bacterial small subunit ribosomal RNA", at positions 12 to 523 of the family's 1533-position model. The record is from RNAcentral.
UUUGAUCAUGGCUCAGGAUGAACGCUGGCGGCGUGCCUAACACAUGCAAGUCGAGCGGACCAAUGCCCAUUUCAGCUUUGCUGAUUUGAGCAACGGUUAGCGGCGGACGGGUGAGUAACGCGUGGGCAACCUGCCCUGUGCAGGGGGAUAACACAGCGAAAGCUGUGCUAAUACCCCAUAAGACUACGCUAUCGCAUGAUAGAGUAGUCAAAGCUUUAGCGGCACAGGAUGGGCCCGCGUCUGAUUAGCUAGUUGGUGGGGUAACGGCCUACCAAGGCGACGAUCAGUAGCCGACCUGAGAGGGUGAUCGGCCACACUGGAACUGAGACACGGUCCAGACUCCUACGGGAGGCAGCAGUGGGGAAUAUUGCACAAUGGGGGAAACCCUGAUGCAGCAACGCCGCGUGAGCGAAGAAGGCCUUCGGGUCGUAAAGCUCUGUCCUAAGGGAAGAAGUAUGACGGUACCUUAGGAGGAAGCCCCGGCUAACUACGUGCCAGCAGCCGCGGUAA